Non-coding RNA from Tyto alba (common barn owl), 47 nucleotides. NCBI's taxonomy places the organism in Eukaryota, Metazoa, Chordata, Aves, Strigiformes, Tytonidae. The record is from Rfam.
AACCUGGCUCCAUUUGGAGCCCACACAUUUUUAAAUAUAAAUAAAUU